UGGUUGACUUCUCAAGCCUGUCUCUCUGCUUCAUUGAAUGGAAGAGCCUGUUAUGUCUGACUGCAUCCCUUUUGAAGUUUCAAAUGGUCACAGCCUACAAGACAGAAUGACAAAAGGCCAUCAGUCAACAUAAAUAGAUGCUCAGCCCACAUCUGGUCUGGUCUGGUCUGGUCUUGGACUGGGGAGGUCCUCAGAAUGUAAAUCUGUCUUUUGCAUUGAGAUGAUUAUUACGUUUGAAAAUCUGAAGACUGACCUGAAGAAUCAGCUUUAAAAUCAGUGCCAAAAAAGAGUCUCCAGCUGGACCUAAGGUUAAGCAAUUUAGAAGACUCUUAAGCAGCUUUCAUCUUGGAUGAAUGUAAAGGAAAACAUGACCUUUCCUGCAUGCAAUACUACCCAUUCCUUCUGGGAGAAAAUGUCUUUAAAACAGGUGUGAUUUUCCAGAGCAAUUGGCUGUACAAAGGUUUCUUCACUUUGUUUAAGUAAUCUGUUAUCUAGCUGAGGAGAAAGAAGAUAUAUUUGAUCCAACUGAACUCUGAGGAAAUGCAGUGAUUGUACCUGUUUCUCGUCUGUUACCUACUCACAAUGAGCUCGGGGAGGGAUGAACAACAUAGACCAGGAGCUGAACACCUAUGUUAAUGUACUGCCUUUUGUUUCCUUGAUGGAAAGUCUGCCUAAUCAGGAGUCCUGAUUCAAACACAAUCUGCAGAUGUUAGUAAUGCAAGACUGAAAAUGAUACACAUAAACAUUUCACCUGCUUAAGAUCUGAAUAAAAGCAUGUCUUGAAAGAGAGAAUGGUUUUAGUUUCCCUUAAAAAUGACUUAGAAGGUAGUGUGUGGAGACAAGAAGCAUUCUGGCUUUUGAUGGCUAGAGAACCAACUUUGAGUCCUAGCUCUG
Lutra lutra (Eurasian river otter) is the source of this 894-nucleotide long non-coding RNA. RefSeq lists it as uncharacterized. The record is from RefSeq and is a predicted model, not a curated record. The transcript has 4 exons. Lineage: Eukaryota; Metazoa; Chordata; Mammalia; Carnivora; Mustelidae.